GAAACAACUACGGUGUUUAUUCCGUUAAAGGAAAUCUUGUAUGAGCAACGGAGGAAAAUCGUGACUUUUUAAAGUACCUAUUGCCUUGUUCUGUUUUUUAAAACUGGUUAUUUUAACCUGUUGUAAUGACCCGCGUUACUGUUUUAGGAGGGAAACUGGUUAAAUGUAAAUGGUUGCAUUAUGGGAAAAAUGUGGCAUGUGGGUGUAUAACCACUGGGAGAAAUGAUGGGAUGACGUGUGUUUCUCAGUGUGUGGGAGAGAGCCUAGGGGGCGCUAAGCAGGCUGGGAAAGCUGGCUGUAGGCACAAGCUCUGAAGGAAACGGGGUCCUUGGACCGAGAGCAUUAUUUCCCCAAUGCUGGCGUUCUAACAAACCGUUCGUCAUGAACGUUGCCUCUUCGCCCCAUCCAAACCCACAGCGCUGAACAUCACACUGUUCCUGGACAGCUUUUGUUAUAAGCUGUAUGGCUUUCAUUUUGAAGAAGUGCUUCACUGGAACCUUAUGAUCAAAAAUGGUCCUCCAACCUGCUCACAGCCUCGCUUCCAUUUCACGGGACGAAUCCACUAUCUGCGAAGAAUGGUGCAAGGCUGCCAGGAUGGCUGGCAAGGAGCCACCGAAGAGCAGGAUGUCCUCUCCGGAGUGGAGCGCGGACAGCAGGUAAGAGCUGCACUUUUCCUCUGGAACAGACGUGUGUAAGAGUCGACCUCUCGCUGCCCACUUUGCAUAAUGUUUCCAUUACAUCCCCGCUGGUCUUGCCAAGGUAAUUAAAUGAUCAUGUAAAAUGAGGUCAGAGCGGGUGACAAGGUCACCUGCAGGUAACUACAAGGGAUUAUGAGGGAAUUAAGUGAUCUAUUCUAUAUUCAAACUGAUUGAUCCUGUGUAUAAAAAGUGAUUUUAAAUAUAUAUUUCAUCUGCUACAAUGAAUAAAAUAAAAUGAAUAAAUGAAUAAAAACA
Molecule: long non-coding RNA, 953 nt
Filed under: Scleropages formosus (Asian bonytongue)
Lineage: Eukaryota; Metazoa; Chordata; Actinopteri; Osteoglossiformes; Osteoglossidae
Description: lncRNA (ENSSFOG00015027449.1)
Source: RNAcentral